Long non-coding RNA from Alligator sinensis (Chinese alligator), 2081 nucleotides. RefSeq lists it as uncharacterized. NCBI's taxonomy places the organism in Eukaryota, Metazoa, Chordata, Crocodylia, Alligatoridae. The transcript has 4 exons. The record is from RefSeq and is a predicted model, not a curated record.
AAGGAAAAUUUAUUUUUGCUGAGUUUUUGUGAGGAGAUCAGUGGUAAGACACAAACAGAAUGAGGCUCCAGGAGAUCCUGGUUCUGUUCUUAAUCCUGCUACUAAUUUUCAACAUGGCCUUGGGCAUGUCACUUUGCUUUUCUGUGCCUCAGUGUCCUCACCUGUAAAAUGGGAAUGCCAUUCAAAUCAUGGUCUACAAAGAGCUUGAAAUCCUGAGUUGGAAAGUACUUAAGAAGUGAAGAGCAUCAUUAUAAAUGCAUAGCAUAGGAAUAAGCGGCCUGCUGGAAUUGACAACAAAAUGGAAGAGAUCAGAAACCAGAGUUUAUGCCAAGGUGAACCAUGAUCAGUUCCCAGAUCAAGGGCAGGAAUUCCUUCCAGGUGCAAGAUUCUCUAUACCAGAGCACAGUGGACAGAGUCCCACCCCUGCUUCAUCCAUUUAUUAGAGAGAGAGAAGACAAAGCCAAGUACUCUUCCAUGGCUUCCUUUCUGGAGAGACACCUGAUAAAUCAUCAGAAGUUAAUGAUCAAAAAGCUUAUCAGGGUCUUUUUGUUUAUAAAUUUAUAAGACAAAAGAGAAAUAAUAAAGGCACUGGAUAAUUAGUAACUAGUCAGGGCCCGCCCGGUGCAACUGGAGCUCAAACUGCCCCAAGAUCUCUACGCAUACUCGGGAAGAAGGAGGCAGGGGUGAGACGGAGUGAGCAAGAUGUGUGGAACAGAAAGAGCUGGAUAGGCAGACACAGAAACAGUGGGGCUAGACAGAGAGAAGUGGGGAUGAGAGAGAGCAAAAGAAGGAAAGAAGAGAGAGGAGUAGGACAGGGAAGAUGGAAACAGCUGAGGCUUGUAACAAAGAAGGAGGGGUAUGAAAAGUAGUGGCAGAGGAAGGUGAGAGGCUCCUUGGGUAGGCAAGAAGAUUUAAUUGUGUGGAACAUUUUCCUCUCCAGUUUCUACUAGAGGACCCGCUGCUGCUGCUGCUGUCCUCUGUUCCACUUGUCUGUUCCAUACGCUCAUGCACCUGGCAGCCAGGCAGGGUGGUGGAGAGCUGCUCCCACAGCUCCCUCCAGGAUGAAGCUUCCCUGUGCUCUAAGAAGAAAAGUACCAGCUGAUACUGGCCCCUUUGCAACCUCUAGACAUGGAAACUGCUACAAUUACUGUAGCCAAAGGCCAGUCAGAGCCAGCAGAUUCCAGAGACUAGGAAACAAAAGAUUAACAUCUAUUAAUUUUACGAACAUCACAGAUACUGGAGCUGGACAUGGCCUUUGAUGGGCUGACUACCAUCAGCAAGGUAACUACUCCACAUGAAGCUGCUCUGGCCAGCAUUCUCCAUUGCUGAGGAGUCGGAACUGGAUUUUGCUAGAGUGACAUCUGACUUUGUAGGAGGAGGGGGUAUAGAUUUUGUGCUGUCAGUGGUGUCAUCUGAUUCUUCAUCAUUGUUGCCUUACUCUGCUAAGGGAAUUAUGUAUCUAACCAGAGAUAAAAACAGACCUUAUUUUGUUGGCUGACAGUACAGAGACUUCUCUAACAGGUCUAAGCAAUGCAGCAGUCUAUGCUCAAGAUACAGGACAUCAUAUCUCAACUGAAAGGACUCUGUGAUAUCAUAUUAUGUCACCAUUGACACCUUGGAGUAAAGUUCACCUCUUGCAGAUCUGAGGAGGUUCUGUGAGAGAGGUGUAUGACAUGAGUAUCAUCUGAUGCAUUCGAGCUGUGUUUUUUCCCAUUCAGAGGACUAAGAGCAAGUGCUGGAUUUGAAGAAAGGAUAGUGUGUGAUGCUAGAGCAUACCUGCAGAAUCCUCAUUUACUAGUCUACCUCAUCAGGUAAAAUUGUUUGGUUAUCAAACUCCCAUACUCAGUAUCUUGCCAAGCUGAACAAUCAGGAUCCAUUCACCCUUGGCCAGUGGGAACAUUGCCAUUUUGUGGACACAAUUGUUAUUUUUCAUCCCACACCAUGAAGAUUCCAGAAAAAUAAUCUAAAUACUGGUAAUUGAUUGAUGUAUUGGUUUAUCCUCCCCUCUAAUGAUGGAAAAGAGGAAGGUUUUGCUUUACUUGGGUUUAAAACACAUUACAAAUAAAAUGUUGUGUACUGAU